GUGUCGGUGGUCUAGCGGUUAGAACGCUGGCCUUGUAAGCCUGGGGGCCCAGGUUCAAUUCCCGGUGGCGCU
RNAcentral lists this transfer RNA (72 nucleotides) under Zootermopsis nevadensis. It matches the Rfam family "tRNA". Rfam says of the family: Transfer RNA (tRNA) molecules are approximately 80 nucleotides in length. Their secondary structure includes four short double-helical elements and three loops (D, anti-codon, and T loops). The record is from Rfam by way of RNAcentral. Lineage: Eukaryota; Metazoa; Arthropoda; Insecta; Blattodea; Termopsidae.